AGCAUUCUUCCCUGUUUGUCUUUUCAGAAAACAUGACCCAGAAAGGGUUAGGAGCCAGCAGAGGAAGAACAAGUGAGCAAGAAUACUUCAACCUUGAAUUCUUCAAGGUUGUUGUUGUUGGAGACCGUGACUCUGGGAGAACCUCGCUGAUCAUAACUUACACCACAGGAGAGUAUCCAGAGUCUUUUCUACCAAAGACAGUAGACUCUACGUUUGCCAAUGCAGUGUUUGAAGGACAAGCAUUUCAACUGUCGAUUUUGGACACUUCAGGCACUGAGGACUAUCCUCGCUUGCGGCCCUUAAGCUACGCUUAUGCCGAUGUGGUGCUGAUCUGCUACGAUGUCAUGAGUCCUUCAAGCUUUGAUAAUGUCUUCCAGAGGUGGUACCCUGAGGUGAAGCAAAUCUGUGUUGGGGUGCCCAUUAUUCUUGUUGGGUGCAAAACAGACCUUCGUUCAGACAAAUUCCUGGAAGAGGAACUCUGGUCAUUGGGCCAGAACUACAUCAAGUAUACUCAGGGUGAAGAGGCCAGAAGAAAAAUAAAUGCAGCGGCAUACUUGGAGUGCUCUGCCAAAUGCAACGAAAAUGUGCAGAAUGUAUUCAGAGAAGCAACAAAACAAGCACUAAUGGCGACGAGAGUGAAGGACAGAGUCAGAAAGAGUGAGAGUCGGUGUGUCUUAUUGUGAUGCAGCUCAUGACUUUGACUGACUGGUAGUGUGAGCUGCACUCAAACUCCAUGUCCAUGUGUUUCCUGAUUGGUUUCCCUUUCAGUGUCCUAAUUUGAGAUGCACUUCAGUAAGAUUAUACUGUGUACUACUGUCUGUAUUUCCUAGCAUAAAAGUUUGCAACACA
Acanthochromis polyacanthus (spiny chromis) is the source of this 849-nucleotide long non-coding RNA. RefSeq lists it as uncharacterized. The record is from RefSeq and is a predicted model, not a curated record. NCBI's taxonomy places the organism in Eukaryota, Metazoa, Chordata, Actinopteri, Pomacentridae. The transcript has 5 exons.